UCCCAAAAUUAGCUCUAAAACCCAGCAAGAAGCAACUCUGUUUUCCAGCCGAAACUUAGCAAAAUCAGCCAUGAAUCACCUUUAAAUUCCAUCCCAAGCCCAGCCGUAAAUUGAGUCCAACAUAGCUAAAGCUUCUGAAUCAAGUCGAGGUUCUCUUUAGUUCGAAGUCGAGGUCGUUAGUCGAAGUUCCGGUCAAAAGUCCUGUCUUCAAUUCAGAGUAACGUGUGCUGUCGGAUUAUUCACUUGGAGCUUUGUUUGAUAAAUCAAAUACAGAAGAAAGUCAUUGAGGUUCAUCUUUUACUUUUUAUCUAUUUUCACCAUAGCAUGCACUAUUUCAUCUUCAAGCAGGUUCCUGCCUUGAUUCGCUGAUCGUGUGUUUAAAUGUUGGUUCAUAUUGAUUUGCUGGUAUUUAUUAGGAUUUCAUUUUUGUUUGUUUAUUUUUGUCUUGUUGAAAUAGCUCGUUAGCUUUCGUUUGAUUUCAUGAUUAGUUUGGAAGAGUGGAGGAUCUGUUUUGAUGAUAAAACCAUGAUAAAAUAUAAUUAAUAAAUUUGUUGAAAGAAUCUGCAUAUAUUAGAUUGUAGCAGUGAAGUUUUGAGAACAUCUGUUAGAGUAGUGAGUCAUCCGUUAGUUAGGAAAUUAGGCCAUUUGAUUCAAAAAUGUGAAAAUCAUUAAUUGAGCCAUUUUCUUUAACUAGUGGGUCUUAAGGCAAACGAACUUUCAUUGCGUCAGUUAGUUUAGCUGUACACUCAGUAUUAAAAAUGUAUAUGUGUUUUGAAUACACUAAUUAUUAAAUCAAAGAACUAAAAUACUUCACAUAUUAGUUUGGUAAAUUACUAAUAUACAUGCUUCUCCAAAUAAUUCCAUAAAUCAUGACCCAUACAAAAAUCUCAAAGUAAUUUAGGAAAAUAAUUUAUGAACAAUCGUAGUUUGAUUUAGGUGUGCUUUAAUCCAUUAUCGUGGUUAUGUAUACGUUCGCGUGACGUAACUAUAAUCCCAAAAUAAAUCAAGGUACGCGUCCGCGCAACUUUUAAUCAAAAACAAUCUUAAUAAUAAAUGUUAUUAAUUGUGUAUACGUACGCGUGACAUUGAUUUUGGCACAAUAAAAAAUGGAUUCACACACGUGAUUCGUUUCAAAGAUAAUUCCAUAUUUGAAUAAUUAAAAGUGGAUAGAUAAAAUAUGAAAAUCAAUAAAUCACAAUUUAUCCAAAAUUAAUUCAAGCCAAGUUGUAGUCAAUAAAGCGACCGUGCUAGAACCACGGGAUUCGGGGAAUGCCUUAUACCUUCUCCCCGGUCAACAGAAUUUCUUACCCGGACUUUAUUUUUGCAGACCAAUAAUAAUAGAGUCAAACCUUCCUUUGACUAGGGAUUCAAAUAAAAGGUGACUUGGAACACCAAAUAUCAAUUCCAAGUGGCGACUCUGAAUAACAAAAUAAUCCCUACUCAAUUUUGUCACUUUAAUUGGAAAAAUCCUUUAAUCCACAUUAUCUUUUUUUUUGGAUUAGAAAAAUGGGUGUGACAGCUCUGGCGACUCUGCUGGGGACUUCAAGAACUCGAGCUUGUACAUUGACUUUAUUUGGCUUUAUAAUUUUUGUAUUAUAUUGUGAUUUAUUUGAGUCUAAUGUGUUACUUAUCGAGUUUUUACC
RNAcentral lists this long non-coding RNA (1643 nucleotides) under Nicotiana tabacum (common tobacco). RNAcentral describes it as "long non-coding RNA (NTAB_LNC011936)". The record is from RNAcentral. Lineage: Eukaryota; Viridiplantae; Streptophyta; Magnoliopsida; Solanales; Solanaceae.